RNAcentral lists this ribosomal RNA (468 nucleotides) under uncultured bacterium. Its description in RNAcentral is "partial 16S ribosomal RNA". It matches the Rfam family "Bacterial small subunit ribosomal RNA", at positions 28 to 507 of the family's 1533-position model. The record is from RNAcentral.
GAUGAACGCUGGCGGCGUGCUUAACACAUGCAAGUCGAACGGAAAGGCCCAAGCUUGCUUGGGUACUCGAGUGGCGAACGGGUGAGUAACACGUGGGUGAUCUGCCCUGCACUUCGGGAUAAGCCUGGGAAACUGGGUCUAAUACCGGAUAGGACGAUGGUUUGGAUGCCAUUGUGGAAAGUUUUUUCGGUGUGGGAUGAGCGCGCGGCCUAUCAGCUUGUUGGUGGGGUAAUGGCCUACCAAGGCGUCGACGGGUAGCCGGCCUGAGAGGGUGUACGGCCACUUUGGGACUGAGCUGCGGCCCAGACUCCUGCGGGAGGCAGCAGUGGGGAAUAUUGCACAAUGGGCGCAAGCCUGAUGCAGCGACGCCGCGUGGGGGAUGACGGCCUUCGGGUUGUAAACUCCUUUCGCUAGGGACGAAGCGUUUUUGUGACGGUACCUGGAGAAGAAGCACCGGCUAACUACGUG